This is a non-coding RNA of Oryctolagus cuniculus (rabbit), 2885 nucleotides long. The record is from RefSeq and is a predicted model, not a curated record. Lineage: Eukaryota; Metazoa; Chordata; Mammalia; Lagomorpha; Leporidae.
GCACGUCCCAGGUGCCCAGAUGCUGGGGGACUGCAGGGAGGGGCUGCUGGUGGAACCCGCAGAAGCAGAAAUGAGGACGAGCCGGGCUCUCCCCGGGAACUGCAGGAGCAGGAGACGUUAACCCGCGCUGCCUGCUGUGUGAGCAGCCCAAACCAGCCCCCGACACCAGGCUCCGGCUCGAAACCCCGUUUUAUCCCGGCGCGCUCCACUCCGCCCCACCCUCCGUCAUGGCUGGCGAUCGCUGUUGCGGGGACCGAGGCGCAACAGGGAAGGUCUGAGGGCCGUCUGGCACUCCCAGCUCGUGAAGUCAACAAUUCCAAGUGGCAAUGACCCCCAAGGAGAGGGAGCCAGGACAGCAGGGCACAGCUGACCCUCGAGGCCAUGGACGUCACCCCCAAGUAAGACGAAGCCGCUGAUCCUGCCAGUUCCGCUCAGUUGGCCUCUGUCAGUUGUGACCACAAGGUUAUGUGAAGCCCAGAUAGGACCUCUUUCAAAUGAAGAAGAGCUAAAACCAGCCAGGACCAGAGAAGACACGGGUACUGCAAGGUGUCCAGCUGCUUUUGUAGGGCUCACAUAGGCGAAACCACUCAUUGAAAAGAAAGACUGACAGGCUUCACGGCUUUCUUCAUCCAUGUGCUGAUUUUUAGGAAACACAAUUUGAAUUAAACGCCAUCUCCCCUUGAUUCUUCCUUGGCCAUCUGCUUCAGGGAGCCUUAGAGGUUUGGGGCUUUUUGAGAGCGGGUUGAGGACCAUUUCCUUCCUCUCUCCCCUCGCUGUGGUUUCCGAGCCCACAGCAGCAGGCCUGGGGGAGGUGCUUGAGGCAUUCGGGCAUCCUCACGACCAGCGGCCAGGGACACCCCCCACCCCGGCGCCCUGUGCCCCCCUUCCGUUCAGCUCACCGCAGUGAAUGGCAGAUUCCUCUGCCCGGCUCGGGUUUCCAAUCACCAUAGAAACCAACUCGAGGCAGUUUCAUUAAUCAUUUAGAGCACGAGAAGUCCAGGUCAGUCUGAUUGCAGCAUAUAGGGUAUCAUCUCCGGGCCACAUGGGACUCAGUCGAUUUGAAUUAAAAAAGAUUAAGCUGCCCUGGGCUGCCUGGCCCCAUCAGUUUAAGUUCUCAUGUAACAGUGGUCUCUGGAGCCAUAUGGAUUAGUGAGUGAAGCUAUGCAUUUAUGUGGCAGGAUUCAGUGAAACAUUAGCUGGCUGCAGGUGUCUAAGGGGAAGAGGACGGGAUCACAUACAGUUUUUUUUGUACUUGUUGCUGUUCUUUUGAAACUGGAAACAAUAACUCAGUUUUACUUCUCCAGUGACAGUUACCGCUCUUGCUGACCAUGAAAUGGUACAUUUGUUGCCCAGGGUUUAUGGUUCGGGACGAAAGGGUCUGUGUGCAGCCAGGGAGUGGCGUGUCCCGUACCUGCUACGGGGUGGCGGGUGAGAAUGUUGACAUCCCCCUCCGCAACCAGCCCCACCGCCUUCCUCUCCAAUGGAGUGGUAAGAAAUGCAUCAAAUAAAUAUUGAUGACAUUUUAGUUUUGCUCAAAUCAGGAUUUACGAGCCCCAGGAAAUUGACUUAGAGGCAGCUACAAAUCAAUGUAGCCCUGAAAGAGCUGUGUAGGAACCCCUCAAAAUGAGCCCCCACCCCUCCCAAAGUACUUACCUUAUUUAUGGGCCACUCCAGGACUUCAAAGAGGCUCGGUAACUUAGGCCAGACUGUUUUAUGGCUCCGUGGGGCUAAGAUGUUGCAGGAGGAAGAUGCAGGUUACAGUGUAUAAGGGAGCCUCUCUCGGGCGGUGGGCAAAAGCUUUCUGUAUCUUGAACGGGCUGAUCCAAGCUUAUUACACUCUGGCUUCCUACAGAAUCAUCCUAAAUCUUCCCAGCCAACCCGGCCUUGUCCGCAGUGCCAGGUGUCAAGCCCCAGAGAGAGAGCCUUUGUGCUCUCCUCCCGCCCCUUCCCCCCAACCCCUGCCUCCCCUGGGGCAUCUGUCUCAGGCCUGGAGGACCCAGUUCCAGGGUGUUCUGUGGGGUUCCGGGGCCUGUCUAGCCCCAGUCCAGCGUCCUGUCUCCUUUCCUCCUUGUGACGCUGAUGGCCCUGAGAUGGGAGAAAGCAAUGCGCAGCCUGAGACCUCUUCCAGCCGCUCCUCGUUCAGCAGGAGUAGUGCGAGGGGCGGGUAAGCCGGGAGCUGGGAGCCCCAGGUCCUCGGGCCAGCCGAGCUCCUGCCCCCCGGACGCAUCCCCUGGGGCCUCUGCUUCCUCAUCUCUGCGAUGAGAAAACUCAGCCGUCCUCCACCGGUUCUGAGGCUCUAAAACACCUCCCUGCUUACGGGGCCCCUCGUGGGUGCUGGAAAAGGAGAACACGCUGCCCCAGCUUCCAGGAGCCUGUGAUGUUUGGGGGAGAGGGAACAGGAGCAUGGGUACGAUCCAGCCCCAGGUGACCUGCCCUUCCUCCAAGCCCCAUGGCAUGGCACUUACAGAUGGGACCCCCAGAGCAGUACCCCUGGACCCUCUCGUCCUGCCCCAAUGCUAGCAUCUCCGUGGGGGGUAAGCCUUGGCUUUCCUCAUGGGCUGCAGCCACGCCCUCAGACCCCCACCCAGCGGGCAGAGGGCGGGCUGACAGAAGGAAGAACGAGGAACACAGGGAGGAAACGUGGAAGGCGACACAGCAAACAGAUCUGGAACACAAGUGAGGAUGCUUCGUUAUGGACUCGACUUGCUAGCUGUGACUUUCAACCACUGCCAGCCUUGGAACAGCAGGAAAAGCCCAAGUGCUGGAGUCAGGUGGCCUGGGGCUCUCCGUCCCGGCUCUGUCACUUGCUACUCAGUGGGAGCUUAAUCAAGUGACUUUACACGGGGGACUCUGCGGUCCCUCCAGGAUCUGCUUUGGGAAUGAAG